Molecule: ribosomal RNA, 429 nt
Filed under: Bacillota bacterium
Lineage: Bacteria; Bacillati; Bacillota
Description: Firmicutes bacterium partial 16S ribosomal RNA
Rfam family: Bacterial small subunit ribosomal RNA
Source: RNAcentral
UGGGGAAUUUUGGACAAUGGGGGAAACCCUGAUCCAGCCAUGCCGCGUGUGUGAAGAAGGCCUUCGGGUUGUAAAGCACUUUCGGACGGAACGAAAUCGCGCGGGUGAAUAUCCCGCGUGGAUGACGGUACCGUAAGAAGAAGCACCGGCUAACUACGUGCCAGCAGCCGCGGUAAUACGUAGGGUGCGAGCGUUAAUCGGAAUUACUGGGCGUAAAGUGUGCGCAGGCGGCGUCGCAAGUCGAGUGUGAAAGCCCCGGGCUUAACUUGGGAAUUGCGCUCGAAACUACGGUGCUGGAGUAUGGCAGAGGAAGGUGGAAUUCCACGUGUAGCGGUGAAAUGCGUAGAGAUGUGGAGGAACACCGAUGGCGAAGGCAGCCUUCUGGGCCAAUACUGACGCUCAUGCACGAAAGCGUGGGGAGCAAACAGG